UACGUAGGGGGCUAGCGUUGUCCGGAUUUAUUGGGCGUAAAGAGCGUGUAGGCGGCCAGGUAGGUCUGCUGUGAAAACUCGAGGCUCAACCUCGAGACGUCGGCGGAAACCAUCUGGCUAGAGUCCGGAAGAGGAGAGUGGAAUUCCUGGUGUAGCGGUGAAAUGCGCAGAUAUCAGGAAGAACACCCGUGGCGAAGGCGGCUCUGGGACGGUACUGACGCUGAGACGCGAAAGCGUGGGGAGCGAACAGG
Molecule: ribosomal RNA, 251 nt
Filed under: uncultured bacterium
Lineage: Bacteria
Description: partial 16S ribosomal RNA
Rfam family: Bacterial small subunit ribosomal RNA
Source: RNAcentral